This 45-nucleotide non-coding RNA is filed under the name Schistosoma margrebowiei. Lineage: Eukaryota; Metazoa; Platyhelminthes; Trematoda; Strigeidida; Schistosomatidae. The record is from RNAcentral.
AUCCAGCUAAGGAGUCCCAAAUAAAACGAAACACGUGUCCUGGAU